CCUACGGGGGGCAGCAGUAGGGAAUUUUCGUCAAUGGGCGCAAGCCUGAACGAGCAAUGCCGCGUGAACGAGGAAGGUCUUCGGAUAGUAAAGUUCUGUUGUAGGGGAAAAAGAGCGGAGAGAGGAAAUGAACUCCGAUUGAUAUUACCCUUCGAGGAAGUCACGGCUAACUACGUGCCAGCAGCCGCGGUAAUACGUAGGUGGCGAGCGUUAUCCGGAAUGAUUGGGCGUAAAGGGUGCGUAGGCGGCCUGCUAAGUCUGGAGUGAAAGGUAACGGCUUAACCGGGACAGGCUCUGGAAACUGG
RNAcentral lists this ribosomal RNA (305 nucleotides) under uncultured bacterium. RNAcentral describes it as "bacterial SSU rRNA". It matches the Rfam family "Bacterial small subunit ribosomal RNA", at positions 338 to 636 of the family's 1533-position model. The record is from RNAcentral.